GGGGUAGCACCUGGCAGUGUCGGCCCGUCAAGCCGGAGAUCGCGGCUUCGAAUUCCGCCGCUCCCG
Molecule: transfer RNA, 66 nt
Filed under: Ardenticatenia bacterium
Lineage: Bacteria; Bacillati; Chloroflexota; Ardenticatenia
Description: tRNA-Asp
Source: RNAcentral